GCCGGAUUGGCGCAGUGGAAGCGUUCUUGGUUUGGGUCCAAGAGGUCCUGAGUUCGAACCUCAGAUCCGGCC
RNAcentral lists this transfer RNA (72 nucleotides) under Pestalotiopsis fici W106-1. RNAcentral's name for it is "tRNA-Pro (TGG) (tRNA-Pro-TGG-1-1)". It matches the Rfam family "tRNA". Rfam says of the family: Transfer RNA (tRNA) molecules are approximately 80 nucleotides in length. Their secondary structure includes four short double-helical elements and three loops (D, anti-codon, and T loops). Lineage: Eukaryota; Fungi; Ascomycota; Sordariomycetes; Amphisphaeriales; Sporocadaceae. The record is from RNAcentral.